Molecule: small nuclear RNA, 104 nt
Organism: Lutra lutra (Eurasian river otter)
Lineage: Eukaryota; Metazoa; Chordata; Mammalia; Carnivora; Mustelidae
Source: RefSeq, a predicted model, not a curated record
GUGCUGGCUUCAGCAACACAUAUACUAAAACUGGAACAUAACAGAGAUUAGCACGGCCCCUGUACAAGGAUGACAUGCAAAUCUGUGAAGUGUCCCAUAUUAAA